GCAUUAAUGGGGUAGUGGUAACCUCGAUCGUUGCCAUCGAUCGGCCCCCGGUUCAAUUCCGGGUUAAUGCA
This 71-nucleotide transfer RNA is filed under the name Wallemia ichthyophaga. RNAcentral's name for it is "tRNA-Gly". The record is from RNAcentral. Lineage: Eukaryota; Fungi; Basidiomycota; Wallemiomycetes; Wallemiales; Wallemiaceae. RNAcentral also lists the same sequence under 1 other name.